GUAGGUGGUUUGUNGCGUCGUCUGUGAAAUUCCGGGGCUUAACUUCGGGGUGNCAGGCGAUACGGGCAUAACUAGAGUGCUGUAGGGGAGACUGGGAUUCCUGGUGUAGCGGUGGAAUGCGCAGAUAUCAGGAGGAACACCGAUGGCGAAGGCAGGUCUCUGGGCAGUAACUGACGCUGAGGAGCGAAAGCAUGGGGAGCGAACAGGAUUAGAUACCCUGGUAGUCCAUGCUGUAAGCGGUGGGCGUUAGGUGUGGGGACCGGUUUGGUUUCUGUGCCGUAGCUAACGCAUUAAGCGCCCCGCCUGGGGAGUACGGCCGCAAGGCUAAAACUCAAAGGAAUUGACGGGGGCCCGCACAAGCGGCGGAGCAUGUGGAUUAAUUCGAUGCAACGCGAAGAACCUUACCUGGGUUUGACAUGCACCAGACGGUUGUAGAGAUACGUACCUCCCUUUGUGGUUGGUGUGCAGGUGGUGCAUGGUUGUCGUCAACUCGUGUCGUGAGAUGUUGGGUUAAGUCCCGCAACGAGCGCAACCCUUGUCUUAUGUUGCCAGCACUUUGGGUGGGGACUCAUGAGAGACUGCCGGGGUUAACUCGGAGGAAGGUGGGGAUGACGUCAAAUCAUCAUGCCCUUUAUGCCCAGGGCUUCACACAUGCUACAAUGGUUAGUACAACGCGCUGCGAACCUGUGAGGGUGAGCGAAUCGCUGAAAGCUAAUCUCAGUUCGGAUUGGGGUCUGCAACUCGACCCCAUGAAGCCGGAGUCGCUAGUAAUCGCAGAUCAGCAAUGCUGCGGUGAAUACGUUCCCGGGCCUUGUACACACCGCCCGUCACGUCAUGAAAGUUGGUAACACCCGAAGCCCAUGGCCUAACCACCAUUUUUUGGUGGGGGGA
Molecule: ribosomal RNA, 891 nt
Filed under: uncultured bacterium
Lineage: Bacteria
Description: bacterial SSU rRNA
Rfam family: Bacterial small subunit ribosomal RNA
Source: RNAcentral